CCUACGGGAGGCAGCAGUGGGGAAUAUUGGGCAAUGGGAGGAAACUCUGACCCAGCGACGCCGCGUGCGGGAUGAAGGCCUUCGGGUUGUAAACCGCUUUCAGUAGGGUAAGAAGCGAAAGUGACGGUACCUACAAAAGAAGCACCGGCUAACUAUGUGCCAGCAGCCGCGGUAAUACAUAGGGUGCAAGCGUUGUCCGGAAUUAUUGGGCGUAAAGGGCUCGUAGGUCGUUUGUUACGUCGGAUGUGAAAACCUGAGGCUCAACCUCAGGCCUGCAUUCGAUACGGGCAAACUAGAGUUUGGUAGGGAGACUGGAAUUCCUGGUGUAGCGGUGGAAUGCGCAGAUAUCAGGAGGAACACCAAUGGCGAAGGCAGGUCUCUGGGCCAAGUACUGACACUGAGGAGCGAAAGUCUGGGGAGCGAACAGGAUUAGAUACCCUGGUAGUCCAGACCGUAAACGGUGGGCACUAGUUGUGGGAACCUUCCACGGUUUCUGCGACGCAGCUAACGCAUUAAGUGCCCCGCCUGGGGAUACGAUCGCAAGGNUUAAAACUCAAAGGAAUUGAACGGCNGAGAGNGCGAGACGACGACGAGGAGAG
RNAcentral lists this ribosomal RNA (599 nucleotides) under uncultured bacterium. Its description in RNAcentral is "bacterial SSU rRNA". It matches the Rfam family "Bacterial small subunit ribosomal RNA", at positions 338 to 945 of the family's 1533-position model. The record is from RNAcentral.